UGUAAUACCCAAAUUUUGCCCGACCCAAUACAUAUAUUAAAACCCAAAUAUAAAAAUAAAAAAAUUAAAAGUCCAAAUGCCCAUUACAUUAACCCAAUUUAAAAAAAAAACCAAAAUUACAUACCCAAAGUCCAAUUAACAGAAACCCAAUACCUAAACUACCCAACAUCAGGCCCAAAUUGCUAAUCCACUAGGGCCCAUUAAAAUUUAAACCCAAUUUGCCUAGACCCUAGCCCAAUCACGAAGUGACCCAACGCAAAAUCAGAGGUUGAAACCCUAGCAGCUUCCAGCGCCGUUCUCCCCAGCCACGCACGCCUCC
RNAcentral lists this long non-coding RNA (319 nucleotides) under Gossypium barbadense (sea-island cotton). RNAcentral's name for it is "long non-coding RNA (GBAR_LNC014694)". Lineage: Eukaryota; Viridiplantae; Streptophyta; Magnoliopsida; Malvales; Malvaceae. The record is from RNAcentral.